Molecule: ribosomal RNA, 188 nt
Filed under: uncultured bacterium
Lineage: Bacteria
Description: partial 16S ribosomal RNA
Rfam family: Bacterial small subunit ribosomal RNA
Source: RNAcentral
CCGGUGACAAACCGGAGGAAGGUGGGGAUGACGUCAAGUCAGCAUGCCCCUUACGUCCUGGGCUACACACGUACUACAAUGCGACGUACAAAGGGCAGCGAACGAGCGAUGGGAAGCUAAUCCCAUAAACCGGGUCUCAGUUCGGAUCGCAGGCUGCAACUCGCUGCGUGAAGCGGGAAUCGCUAGUA